AUCGCGUCGCUCCCCCCAUUCCUUCCUUCGGGAUGCUUGGCCGGGGGCGGAAACUGGUCUCCCGUUCCUCACUGAGCGGUUGGCCAAAAUAAGAGUCCCCUUCGACGGACGCACGACUAGUGGUGGUUGACAAAACCCGGAAUCGUGUUGUGUGUCUUGUCAAAAGGGUGCAUCUUAAUAGACCCAAUGCGUUGUCAUGUAACGACGCUUCGACC
This 215-nucleotide unclassified non-coding RNA is filed under the name Solenogyne bellioides. Its description in RNAcentral is "ITS2". The record is from RNAcentral. Lineage: Eukaryota; Viridiplantae; Streptophyta; Magnoliopsida; Asterales; Asteraceae.